RNAcentral lists this long non-coding RNA (789 nucleotides) under Phasianus colchicus (ring-necked pheasant). RNAcentral describes it as "lncRNA (ENSPCLG00000003384.1)". The record is from RNAcentral. Lineage: Eukaryota; Metazoa; Chordata; Aves; Galliformes; Phasianidae.
UGCUUUCAGAGAAAUGCUAGUAAAUGAUACUCAGGAAUCUCAUGAAUAAAUAGGGUGGAUAGGACUGGUAAACCAUUUUUUGACUGGUUGAUACUGCAAAUGGUUUCUGCUUUUCGCCCUUGUGACCAUUGCUCACUUGUUUAAUUUCAACUUUCAUUCUUUCCAGCACUCUUAUACCCAGCCCAUCCCUCUGUACCUUUGAUGACUCUGUCUCUCCAGGAAUUAUCCCUCCUAGCACAGUCCUGGUUUCUCUGCUCUCUGAACCACCACUCCUGACUCCACGGAUCCACCUCUUCCCAUUUGUUGCUCUUAAUGUCCCCCUUGUGUUUUUUCUUUGCCCUGCAGAACGUGCAGAAUGGUUCCCUGUGCACAGCACAGCCAAUCCCUGGAAGGCUGGAGCUGAGCCUGCUUGGAGCACACCAGGAUGGGGUGAUGCAGCAAAGUGAGCACUGCCUCCUGUCCUCAGCAGGACAAUUUGCCUUGCCCCUCUCAGGAAGAGAAAGCUUGCAGAGGAGUGUCUGCAGGUUUUCUGCUUUAACACUUCUCUCACCUGGAAGUGAAACAUUUAUCAGCGGGCAAAAACAGCAACAGGCUUCAAGUAACCUGCUCACCAGUAAGGCAAGAUUCACAAUCUGUUCCCAGCAACCCGCAGUUAUGGUGCUGUGUCAUGAGUAUGGAAGGCAAAAUCUUCCCCCUGCAAACUCAGCUACACGCCAGCUUCCCUGCAUGGAUCAUUCACACCAUUGUCUUGCUGAGAUUUCAAAAUUUUGUGUGUGCAUCAGUAAGUAG